This 507-nucleotide ribosomal RNA is filed under the name uncultured Glomeromycotina. Its description in RNAcentral is "partial small subunit ribosomal RNA". It matches the Rfam family "Eukaryotic small subunit ribosomal RNA", at positions 591 to 1092 of the family's 1831-position model. Lineage: Eukaryota; Fungi; Glomeromycota. The record is from RNAcentral.
CCAAUAGCGUAUAUUAAAGUUGUUGCAGUUAAAAAGCUCGUAGUUGAAUUUCGGGAUUGGCGUGUCGGUCGUGCCUUACGGGGUAUGAACUGGCGUCGUCGAUUUCUCACCUUCUGGAGAAUCACGAUGCCCUUAAUUGGGUGUCGUGUGGAACCAGGACCUUUACCUUGAAAAAAUUAGAGUGUUUAAAGCAGGCAUUUUUGCUCGAAUACAUUAGCAUGGAAUAAUAAAAUAGGACGGUUUGGUUCUAUUUUGUUGGUUUCUAGGAUCACCGUAAUGAUUAAUAGGGAUAGUUGGGGGCAUUAGUAUUCAAUUGUCAGAGGUGAAAUUCUUGGAUUUAUUGAAGACUAACUACUGCGGAAGCAUUUGCCAAGGAUGUUUUCAUUAAUCAAGAACGAAAGUUAGGGGAUCGAAGACGAUCAGAUACCGUCGUAGUCUUAACCAUAAACUAUGCCGACUAGGAAUCAGACGAUGUUAAUUUUUUAAUGACUCGUUUGGCACCUUACG